CCUACGGGGGGCUGCAGUGGGGAAUAUUGCACAAUGGGCGCAAGCCUGAUGCAGCAACGCCGCGUGAGGGAUGACGGCCUUCGGGUUGUAAACCUCUUUCAGUAGGGAAGAAGCGAAAGUGACGGUACCUACAGAAGAAGCACCGGCUAACUACGUGCCAGCAGCCGCGGUAAUACGUAGGGUGCGAGCGUUGUCCGGAAUUAUUGGGCGUAAAGAGCUUGUAGGCGGUUUGUCGCGUCUGCUGUGAAAAUCCGGGGCUCAACCCCGGACUUGCA
Molecule: ribosomal RNA, 275 nt
Filed under: uncultured Nostocoides sp.
Lineage: Bacteria; Bacillati; Actinomycetota; Actinomycetes; Micrococcales; Intrasporangiaceae
Description: uncultured Tetrasphaera sp. partial 16S ribosomal RNA
Rfam family: Bacterial small subunit ribosomal RNA
Source: RNAcentral